RNAcentral lists this ribosomal RNA (301 nucleotides) under uncultured actinomycete. RNAcentral's name for it is "bacterial SSU rRNA". It matches the Rfam family "Bacterial small subunit ribosomal RNA", at positions 223 to 523 of the family's 1533-position model. Lineage: Bacteria; Bacillati; Actinomycetota; Actinomycetes; Actinomycetales. The record is from RNAcentral.
GGAUGAGCCCGCGGCCUAUUAGCUAGUUGGUGAGGUAAUGGCCCACCAAGGCAACGACGGGUAGCCGGCCUGAAAGGGCGAUCGGCCACACUGGAACUGAGACACGGACGAGACUCCUACGGGAGGCAGCAGUGAGGAAUUUUCCGCAAUGGACGAAAGUCUGACGGAGCGACGCCGUGUGUGUGAUGAAGUCUUUAGGGAUGUAAAACACUGUCGAGAGGGACGAUAUUGACGGUACCUCUGGAUGAGCCCGCGGCCUACGCGCAGGCCUAACAAGUGUACGUGCCAGCAGCCGCGGCCG